This 54-nucleotide transfer RNA is filed under the name Blaesodactylus antongilensis. RNAcentral describes it as "partial tRNA-His". Lineage: Eukaryota; Metazoa; Chordata; Lepidosauria; Squamata; Gekkonidae. The record is from RNAcentral.
GCCAACAUAGUUUUGACCAAAACAAUAAGUUGUGGACCUAGUAACAAGGAAGUA